GACGAACCGUGCGAACGUUGUUCGGAAUCACUGGGCUUAAAGGGCGCGUAGGCGGUUUGCCAAGUCAGGGGUGAAAUCCUGCAGCUCAACUGUAGAAGUGCCUUUGAUACUGGCGAACUCGAGGGAGGUAGGGGUGGGUGGAACUUCUGGUGGAGCGGUGAAAUGCGUUGAUAUCAGAAGGAACGCCGGUGGCGAAAGCGACCCACUGGACCUCUUCUGACGCUGAGGCGCGAAAGCUAGGGGAGCAAACGGG
Molecule: ribosomal RNA, 253 nt
Filed under: uncultured bacterium
Lineage: Bacteria
Description: partial 16S ribosomal RNA
Rfam family: Bacterial small subunit ribosomal RNA
Source: RNAcentral